UGUCCGAUUUCAUGUAUCAAAGGAUUUGAUGUAUCACAACCUCAUUGAUACAUAUAACUCCCUCUUCCCUGUUUUUAAUCUCACAUUUCUUCAAAACCCUAGAAUUUUCAUUUCAAGGUUCUGUCACCAAGGGAGAGAGGUGAGAAAAUGGUCGUUCCAAAAGAUGUGCGCCAAAAUACGCCCGUCAAAAUUGGGGCAACUGCAGGCCUGAGACAGUUGGGAGUUGAUGCAUCUGAAAGAAUUAUGCAAGCUGAGUCACUACCUAUGGAGAUGUUUUGUUGUUUAUGGUACUUUUUGCUGUCAUACUCACUGUCUCAUUCAA
This is a long non-coding RNA of Cynara cardunculus var. scolymus (artichoke), 322 nucleotides long. RefSeq lists it as uncharacterized. The transcript is spliced from 3 exons. Lineage: Eukaryota; Viridiplantae; Streptophyta; Magnoliopsida; Asterales; Asteraceae. The record is from RefSeq and is a predicted model, not a curated record.